Molecule: long non-coding RNA, 1464 nt
Organism: Cylas formicarius (sweet potato weevil)
Lineage: Eukaryota; Metazoa; Arthropoda; Insecta; Coleoptera; Brentidae
Exons: 3
Source: RefSeq, a predicted model, not a curated record
AUGUAGAGAUAGCUUUUUAGAAAAAAUGGUGAAAAAUGCUGGUUGGUUGGUGAAUUUAGAGCAAUGCGAGAAAAAAUCUUCCCUUCUCUACGAAAAUAUCAAUGCCACUUGCUUAUCUAAUGGCUAUAUGCAUAACAAAGUGGCCUUACUACAGUAAAAAUUGAUGCGCCGCAUGUUCUAAGAAAAUGCUGCUGCAAAAUUGCUAUAAUUUAAUAUAUUAUACAAAUGGCUAUGAUAAUACAUGAUUCAUUGACAUUUUCGUAGGGAGGUUAUGAUUUUCUGCGAAUACCUCUAUAUUUCACCCUCUAACCAGCACUUUACGCCAUUUUCUUUCUAAACAGCGAAAUUCACACAUUUAGCUCCUCUUUGUCUGAUGAUUUAAUGGUAUCUGAACAUAUUUCUAUAAAAUACUGGCGUCAUUAACUAAAAGCGAGUUUUUCAAUCCAUCUACAAAACGGUUUGAUAUCUACAAACAGAAAAUGUUUAAGUAGGUCCAUCAGCAUUUUCUAGUGUCCGAAAAGCUCUGUUUGUUUCUUUAUAUGUAAUUUUUGAAUUAUUUAUUGCAAGGAAUGGAGCUAAAUCCAAAAUCCAACAAAAUAUCGGACUACAACGUAACCUGUGUGUGAUAUUUAAAAAAAAAUUGAGGUUUAAUUAUCAUAAUUAUUAUUCUUGCACAUCAAGCUGACGUCAAUUUGUAAAGUAUGAUUGAUCAACUACAGUAUGUUCAGGAUUUCAGUUGCUGGAAAUGUUUAUCGAAUUUUUGAAGAAUACCCGCUGAAAUCAACUGGGAGGUGGUUACUAUUCUCACGGGAACGAAAUUAAAUGCAUAACCUCUAACUUAGGACCGAGGAUGGGUCGUCUGGCAAGACUAAGAAGAUCUUAGUAGCGACAGCAUAAACGUCAUUUUUUAGAAAUUUGUCACAAUGUCAAACUGCAGCUUGCGAACGUUCAUCGAUUCGAAGAAUUAUUGGCGAUUUUACAAUUCAAAAUAUUACUAUCGAUUGCAAGUAAAAUUUUGAAUGGUUGCAUUGUUUUUUAUGUUGAUACUGUUUAAAAAAAUUGUUCGGUAUAGUGCGCGAUUCAGUGCCGUUAUGGACUCAUCCGAGUGUUCAACAUUAUACGAAAAUCUUAUGGGUUUCAAAUCAAAAUACAAAAGAAAUUUUUCUAUUUUUUACGUAUGCAUCAUAAUGUUAAUUAGCUAUGAAAUUAGAGACUGGGCUUUUAUAUUUUUUAAAACUGUUUGCCAGUCCUUUUUUCCUUCGCUGUGCUUUUGGUUUACUGUUAAUAGAUAAAUAUGAAGUGCAAAAAAUAAACCCAUAUUAUUAUUAUUAUUAUUAUUAUUAUAACAAGAAUCCUUAUAAUUGUUUUUGGUGUAAAAAUAUGCCCUUAACUUAUCAGUGCCUGGAGUAGACCCAAUUAAAAUUAUAUGUUUUGCUUUUAAUUUUUUUUUGGCUUCUACAAAAC